AUUGAACGCUGGCGGCAUGCCUUACACAUGCAAGUCGAACGGCAGCACGGGGGCAACCCUGGUGGCGAGUGGCGAACGGGUGAGUAAUGCAUCGGAACGUGCCCAGUAGUGGGGGAUAACUAGUCGAAAGAUUAGCUAAUACCGCAUACGACCUAUGGGUGAAAGCGGGGGAUUCGCAAGAACCUCGCGCUAUUGGAGCGGCCGAUGUCUGAUUAGCUAGUUGGCGGGGUAAAAGCCCACCAAGGCGACGAUCAGUAGCUGGUCUGAGAGGACGACCAGCCACACUGGGACUGAGACACGGCCCAGACUCCUACGGGAGGCAGCAGUGGGGAAUUUUGGACAAUGGGCGCAAGCCUGAUCCAGCCAUGCCGCGUGCGGGAAGAAGGCCUGG
Molecule: ribosomal RNA, 391 nt
Filed under: uncultured bacterium
Lineage: Bacteria
Description: bacterial SSU rRNA
Rfam family: Bacterial small subunit ribosomal RNA
Source: RNAcentral